GGCGGCGCGCCAAACACAUGCAAGACGAACGAGCGAGAGAGAGCUUGCUUUCUCGAGCGAGUGGCGAACGGGUGAGUAACGCGUGAGGAACCUGCCUCAAAGAGGGGGACAACAGUUGGAAACGACUGCUAAUACCGCAUAAGCCCACGGUGCCGCAUGGCACAGAGGGAAAAGGAGCAAUCCGCUUUGAGAUGGCCUCGCGUCCGAUUAGCUAGUUGGUGAGGUAACGGCCCACCAAGGCGACGAUCGGUAGCCGGACUGAGAGGUUGAACGGCCACAUUGGGACUGAGACACGGCCCAGACUCCUACGGGAGGCAGCAGUGGGGAAUAUUGCACAAUGGGGGAAACCCUGAUGCAGCGACGCCGCGUGGAGGAAGAAGGUCUUCGGAUUGUAAACUCCUGUUGUUGGGGAAGAUAAUGACGGUACCCAACAAGGAAGUGACGGCUAACUACGUGCCAGCAGCCGCGGUAAAACGUAGGUCACAAGCGUUGUCCGGAAUUACUGGGUGUAAAGGGAGCGCAGGUGGGAAGACAAGUUGGAAGUGAAAUCUAUGGGCUCAACCCAUAAACUGCUUUCAAAACUGUUUUUCUUGAGUAGUGCAGAGGUAGGCGGAAUUCCCGGUGUAGCGGUGGAAUGCGUAGAUAUCGGGAGGAACACCAGUGGCGAAGGCGGCCUACUGGGCACCAACUGACGCUGAGGCUCGAAUGUGUGGGUCGCCACAAAGAUUAGAUACCCUGGUAGUCCACACCGUAAACGAUGAUUACGAGGUGUUGGAGGAUUGACCCCUUCAGUGCCGCAGUUAACACAAUAAGUAAUCCACCUGGGGAGUACGACCGCAAGGUUGAAACUCAAAGGAAUUGACGGGGGCCCGCACAAGCAGUGGAGUAUGUGGUUUAAUUCGACGCAACGCGAAGAACCUUACCAAGUCUUGACAUCCCUUGACAGGCAUAGAAAUAUGUUUUCUCUUCGGAGCAAGGAGACAGGUGGUGCAUGGUUGUCGUCAGCUCGUGUCGUGAGAUGUUGGGUUAAGUCCCGCAACGAGCGCAACCCUUAUGGUCAGUUACUACGCAAGAGGACUCUGGCCAGACUGCCGUUGACAAAACGGAGGAAGGUGGGGAUGACGUCAAAUCAUCAUGCCCUUUAUGACUUGGGCUACACACGUACUACAAUGGCGUUAAACAAAGAGAAGCAAGACCGCGAGGUGGAGCAAAACUCAGAAACAACGUCCCAGUUCGGACUGCAGGCUGCAACUCGCCUGCACGAAGUCGGAAUUGCUAGUAAUCGUGGAUCAGCAUGCCACGGUGAAUACGUUCCCGGGCCUUGCACA
This 1328-nucleotide ribosomal RNA is filed under the name uncultured bacterium. Its description in RNAcentral is "bacterial SSU rRNA". It matches the Rfam family "Bacterial small subunit ribosomal RNA", at positions 38 to 1387 of the family's 1533-position model. The record is from RNAcentral.